GACGAACGCUGGCGGCGUGCCUAAUACAUGCAAGUAGAACGCUGAAGCUUGGUGCUUGCACCGAGCGGAUGAGUUGCGAACGGGUGAGUAACGCGUAGGUAACCUGCCUGGUAGCGGGGGAUAACUAUUGGAAACGAUAGCUAAUACCGCAUAAGAGUAGAUGUUGCAUGACAUUUGCUUAGAAGGUGCAAUUGCAUCACUACCAGAUGGACCUGCGUUGUAUUAGCUAGUUGGUGAGGUAACGGCUCACCAAGGCAACGAUACAUAGCCGACCUGAGAGGGUGAUCGGCCACACUGGGACUGAGACACGGCCCAGACUCCUACAGGAGGCAGCAGUAGGGAAUCUUCGGCAAUGGACGGAAGUCUGACCGAGCAACGCCGCGUGAGUGAAGAAGGUUUUCGGAUCGUAAAGCUCUGUUGUAAGAGAAGAACGAGUGUGAGAGUGGAAAGUUCACACUGUGACGGUAUCUUACCAGAAAGGGACGGCUAACUACGUG
Molecule: ribosomal RNA, 497 nt
Filed under: uncultured bacterium
Lineage: Bacteria
Description: partial 16S ribosomal RNA
Rfam family: Bacterial small subunit ribosomal RNA
Source: RNAcentral